CGAACAGCCUGUGCGGUGCUGUGUGGGCGCAUCUCGGGUCAGAUUGGGCCCGGGAGUGCCGUACGCUGGUCAUUUGAAAAAAAAAAAAAAAAAUUAAAAAAAAAAAUAUAAAAAUCUAUCUCUGGGAGGAACUUGAGGGAGCGAGGUUCAACUCUUGAGAGCGCUCCCGCCUCGGCUGCUCGCAGCGCUUCGGGGCGGGGAGGCGGGGGGUGGGGGGGGGGGAACCGUGAACUUUCAUUUUCACGCCGCACACCCCAAAUCCGCCGCCCCCCCGCCCCCGUCCCAAAUUGUGACUGACCGUCAGGUACCUGGCGGUGGGGUCAGCGCUCCUGUGUCCCCCCCCCCCCGCAGGCGGGGAAGGCGAGGCGGAGGUGGCGAGCGGCUGAAGAGCCGCGGAGGGGGAAGGCGGGCGACCGUGCCGCCCGAAGCGCUAGCCUGCACUUGACUUUGUGACUGCUGAAGGAGCCCGUCCUGGGAGCCCUCCGCGGGCUGUGCGGACCCCUGCCUUCGCGGAGAGACCCGAGGCAUCGCUGCCAGCGGCUCCUCAGGAUUUUUGACUUCAGUGGGUUGAAAACAGCAAGCUUUUGGGCUCGAAAAGCUUAGACCAUCAUGGCUACGAAAACUACUGCUGCUGCUCAGAAAAUAUGUAAUUCUGGAGCUCCUUAGUGAAAAAGUAGUGCAAAGCAACAUCAGAGCAGUUGCCAAGUGAUAUUCUCCACAGCACCCAUGAACUUCAGCCUUGAACUGAAGAGGACUCAUCAAAUGCCUUAGGAGAGACAGCACGGAAUUGGAAGAGAAGCAGGGGUCUCCAUGAAGGGCAGUCAACUACAGUCUUGGUGUGUGGAGGAACAGGUUCUGUUCUCGCUGUUGCUACUCCCACAUACGCGGACUCUGUAACUGAUUAUGUGUGGGUAGGGCCCUAUUGAAAUUCAGGAGAUUCUGCAAUAGUGCAGGGUUCUUUUUGUGAAAGUUCAGUUGCAAGAUCAGGACUCUACUGUGACUCCUUACUGUGAAUUCUGUCAGUGUAUCAUUGAUUGUGCUGGAACCUGCCUUUUGGGAUAAUGUAAGUCCUGCUCUUCCCCCAAAUGUACUUUAGACAUGAAAUAAUCAUAAAACAUUUCUAAUUAGAAAAUUAGUAUCAUUUACAUGCAUUCUUUUAAUUAUGUUUUUUUGGCAGUACCAAAUAAUAUAUUCCUCAAAACUUCUUAAUGGCACUGAGGCUUUGUGGAUAGUUGGUCACAUGAUGAGAAAAUUCAGCUGUAAGUACAUUGAAAUGAUUGAAUUUUUCAAUAGUUAGUCUUUACUGAUGUUGACAAACUAAUAAUGAUAAAAAGGUGAAUCAAGAGGUUUGACUUAUGUCAGUUGACUUCAGUUCUUUUUAGAAAAUAUAUAAAAUAUAUCUAUUAAGGAUUUUGUUACUCUUGGGUAAUUCACCAUGUGAACCUGGAGUCCUUCCAUACUGGUGUUAGGCAGGGAGUUUUAAUUUAUUUGUUUUCUUUAUUUUCAGAAUAGUGUGUCUCUGACUUGCUCUGUAUUUUCACCCAUAAACUUUCUGAAAUUUAUAGAUCUAUAAAAACUGUUUAUACCACCAAUAUUUGUGUAGAUAUUGCACACUGAUUUACUAACAUAAUUGUCUUGCUGAGUUGAACAUUGAAAUGUUAAUAAAUAUACACUUGCACUUGUGUCAAUGUAACUUGGUUAAAUUAAACUAAACUGAGCUGGCAUUAUGAGUGAAUUUGAUGAUGCAUGCUGAUUAGCUAUAGUCUUAGGCAGGAACUACAUACUUUAUUGUACCUAAGUACUUUGUGCUUAAUCAAUAAUAAUUACCCAUAUCAUACGUCAGUGGAUUCACCCAAAAUAACUAUAAAUAUCUAUGCUUGGAUUAAGAAGGAAGCUCUUUUCCUGUAGCUAUGGGUACAGUCAUUGCUAUGAGUCCUAUUUUUAUAUACAAAUGAGCAAAAACUACACGUAGGUGUUUACCCUGUAUAACAAAAGGGGUAUUAUAAACUCCAUGCCCUUUUUUGUGAUGCCGUAUUUCCUUUCUGGUAUUCAAAUACAUGAGUGUUUUCAAUGGGGUCUUAGUAUCUGAAAAACGGAAGAACUGGAAAUGUUAUUGAAUUUGUGAAUAAUUAUUAAGGGGCUGUAAAGGUCUAGAAGAGUUGUAUGUAAGGACAAUUAGACAUUCUUUCCCAUGGAGCAAGGACACAGAUAAUAAUUGGUGAGUAAAGAUUAAGAAGGACAGGAUUUUUUUUUUUUUUUUUGCUUGGCACAAGAGCAGCAUGAAGUUUGAAGAAAGAGCAAGACCAAAGAAGAAAUCAUAAACUCAGAUCAAAAGCAUACUAGAGAGUCCAGAUAAAAAAAACCAAAAAACAAACAAACAAACAAAACCAAAACAAGGAAAACCAAAAACCAGAAAAUGGAUGGCAAAAAUAUGGCCAAAAGGAGAACUAAAUGCAUACCUACUGGUGUUUCUCAUUGCACUGAAUAUGUGAUAGAUUUAAGUUUAAAACUUUCAGUAAGUGUUUUUCUAUAAUUUUUUUUUUCUGCUGGAGAGGAGUAUAUGGGCUUUGAAGAAGACUCAGUGACUAGUUGUGAAUUACCUGUAUAAAUUGGAGAUUUGAGAUGACAGUUACAGCUAAGAACAGAGGACAAUGGGUUAUGUAUGCUAAACUAUGAUUAGUGCUAAGCAGAAGCCAUAAUUUCUUCUUCAAACAUGGGACUUAAUGAUUUUGAAAUGUAUCAUCUUCAACAGAGCUCAAAACAUAAUUUCAUUAUGUUCAUUACAGGAUGGGAACUUUCGAAGUUCUAGUUUAAAAACUUAACAGUGAUUCUUUUGAGAUUUUGCAAUAUAAAAUGAAAUUGAGAUUUUUCAAUAUGAAAUGAAAUCAAGAUUUGAGAACAUUGGCUGUUUCAUUCUGCAUUAAAAAAAAUCUCGAUCAGGAUAUUUUGUUUUUUAAAUGUUUAGACCUAAUGGUUUACUGUUUUCACCUUUUAAUCCUAUGGGCCAUAUUUAUUCUUACUUGCACUAAGUUGGGUAAAAGAACAAAAAGGAGAGGGAGAUUAAGGUGACUGCAAAAAAACCCCAAACACAGCCCUGUAGCUCUGCCCGCCCUGCCCCAAACCAGAUCAAAAGAAGUGCCUCAGAAUAGAUCUAGUUUCAGAGGAGAAAAGUGACAUGCUAGUGAGCAGGGUAUGAGGAAUCCCCUGGGUGUUUCAUAGGUAUCCACGUUUUUCACUCAUCACCACUGAGAGACAGAUCACGUAGGUGUGACUGCUCCUCCUUCCUGUGAUGGCAACUUCUCAGUACUUUUGAGGGAGAUAAUGUCAGGGCACAGCUCUGUCCUGCGUGCGGUAGCGCUGCUACAAAUACUGUUUGGAAGAAAAGGAACUCUGAAUUGUCUCCUGCUGUAACCAGCUCUCCACUACUCACUGCUGCUAACCCCCUUUGCUAAGCACCUGAUCUGAUUGCUUCUUUGGUUUAACCCAUGCCGUGAUGCCGUAAAUGACUGAAACUAGGAGAACAGCAAGAAAGCAGAUACCAACAGAAGGAGUUGAUGUUGUGGAAUGUAGGGAGUGGGCAUUUGCUACACAGCUACACAUUGCGUGGGCUUGGGAAUACUUCAGGAGCUGGAAUACCAAACUACAGCAACAGAAAGUAAGUUUCCUUUAGUGGCAAACUGAGGCGAUAGCCCUGGUUCUAUGCAUUAAGAAGGAAGAGCCAAGGAAUGUGCAUUGAACAUUCAGCAUGUUAGUAGUUGUAAGUUUAAGUUGUGAGAUCUUCUCUGCUGCUGUUUGCACUUGGCUUGUAUCGUGACUGUCCUGUCUUCAAGCUGGAUGUAGCAUGUUUUUGUUUAUGUUGAAUGAGGCACCCAUCAUAUUAUAAUGUCACGAACAUUGUUUUUCUUCAACCCUUGAAAGUCAAAACAUGGUAGCCUAGAUAGCUGUAAUAAGUUAGUAAUAAACGUGACAUGAAAGAAUUUUCUCAUUUCACAGUAUUUAUAGGAAAAACAAUGUUUUAUGUGUUUCAUAUACGUCCUCCCAUCUUAUUUUCCACUCCUAAGCAGAUCUAAUGCAUGAAAAUUUUCUUCAGUAGUGCCCUCAGUUCUUUAUUUCCAGUUACAACUAUUGGUCUUUUGUUGGUAGGUUUUUUUCAUAAUUAGGUUAGGGCCCUCACAAAACCUCUCUGCAUCCUCUAUGAAUGACACCAUCAUGCUGUCGUUUGUUUUAAGCCAUCAAAUCUAGGCUAAAUCUGAGUUUUGGGAAUCUUUUUCCAACCCCUUAAGGAUGGUCUGUCUUCUCUGUCAGACGAUAAUAUUUUUCAUCCAGGUUUUCCGUGGAUCAUGUCUUUAUUAGAAAGUCUUUUUCUUUUGCCCUGACAAAUGCAGUCUUGCCAUGCUUGUUAUCUAGUCAAAAAGUGCUACUCUGCUGUAAAUACCAGUUUCCAAACUUACUCCUUUGGUAUUUUCAAUUUCCUCCUUCAGUUUAAAGCAAUAAAGAUAAGCUAUCUGUCUUUAUUUUCAAGGCCCAUCAAGACUACUUCUACCUGAUACCUCUCCUUCAGUAUCAAGAGGUUGACUCUGGUUUUGAUCAACAUAUGAUGCCAGCUUCCGUCAUUCGGUUGUUAACUUUUUAGACCACAUUGGAUGUUUUCUCCUCAGCUGCCUCUCAUGUAUUGGUUGACUUCUUCAUAAACAGAACCGUUUACUAUCUUCCUUUAAGUAUCUUCUUACAAGUUUUAUGUACUGUGAAGCUUAAAACAAUCCAACUAGGCAACAGUUACAUUGCAGCUAUAUUAAUGCCAACGCCUAUCACAGUAGUACUGUUUCACUGUGUUUGUACUCUGCCAUAAUUUCUCUGUUGUCUCUUUAUGUAGAAUUCCAGCACAUCUACUUUCUGUUGUGUGUUUAUUCACGGCCCAGCAUAAUGAGAAAUGGUCCAGGGUGAGCACUCCCAAGAUUUAUGGUAAUUCAAAUAAAUGAUAAUGAAUACCCACUGGAUACUGCAGUGUAGCUGCUGGAUUCUGCUGUGCCUAAUGUCACAACAUAUUUAACGCAGAAAGAAGGUGCUCCAGCUAGAGGCCUCACAAAAGGGAAAGAAGAAGUGAGUUGCAGCCAACAGAUAAAAUGCUAGCCCCAGAGGCCUUCUCAACUGUCAAACCCAAGUCAAUAGCUACUGGCAUUGCGUCCUGAAAACAUCCCUCUCUUCCCUUCUCCACAGCAGUAAGAACAGACUCUCCCUUCUCAUAGAAGGAAGUAAACGCAAAUAUUACAAAGUUCUGCAGUGUGUGCAAAAGGUUAAAGGACUUUUUAUACUUCUGUAGUAUCCUUCUGCUCCUUAGUACAUUCCCUUCCUGGCACAGCAUCUCUUGGUACAGAAAUCUUGAAUAACCACAGGCAGUUGUUCCAGCCAUACCGUUGGUCAGUCCUUUUUCACAUCUGAUCUCUGUUGAGAAGGAACCUACACUAGUUUUGAUUUGGGAUCUCGGUACACUGCUAUCUUGUAGUGCUCCAUUUCCAUUGUGCCUUGAAGGUAAUGAUUCUUCAGAAGAGUGGUAAGCAUGAAUUCUAUCAGGAAUUCCCCAGGUAUGUCACCCUCUUUCUGGAAGUGUGUCUGUAUGUAUCUCUUUUCUUUCUUUCAAAGGGACACUGAAAUGUCAGAGUACAGAUUAUACAGAGCUGAUAGAAUGUUUAGUGCCUAGCUGAUACAGGGAUGGUAGACUGGACUAUGCAGACAAACGACGCUGUAUAUACCGAAGAAAAUAAAUAAGUUAAUUUUAUCAGAAUAAACCACAAAACGUAAUUACAAAUGGUUCUGUAUCUGAAUAGGAGAGGUCUAGUAGGAGCUCUGGACUAGUUGAUGGAACGGAGACAGUGGCUGUGAAAUACUGUGGGAGACUGGAGAGGCUAUACAACCCGAAAGCUUGAUUGUAAUAAGAGUUCUUGGUUGUCUAUAUAUAGACUGGAUAAACUUAACAGUAGGCCACAUUAGGCCACCAUGCACAGGCUGUAUUUUAGGUAUCAUCAAGAACUACUUUUUGAACAAACCAGCUGGAGAAUCCAGAAGAAGGGGGACAGCCCUUGAUUUAGUGUAGAUUACCACACAAGAAUUGACUAUAGAAGAGCCAUUCAGUAGCAAUAUCUGGUAUCAUACUCAAGUUUCUCGUACUUGUGGGAGAGAAAAAGAUAAAAAAAUGUCCAGUAUUGUUUAAAAAAGAAGAAUUGCAUGCAAAUGAAGAUACAGUUUAAAUAAAUCUUAAAAGAGACAGGGGGACUUUGCUUUCUGAUUCUAACCCAAUUGAAUAGGAAUUGUCCAACACAACUGAACAGUAAAAGAAGUUACUAGAAAUAAAUAGAGGUUUUUCAAAAAGUGAAAUCCAAACAAGCAAAGCAGAGAAGAGCACAAUUCUGGCAAGUUAAAUGUAGAUCUAUUGUAAGGCAGAACAAAAAGAUUUUGAAAUGCAACAGGCUAAAAUUCUAAAAGCCAAACCCCAUUUUUUUCAAGUGUAAAUUUUGCUAGUAGGGAGGUGAGUUCAAUAGAUAAUUGCAGAUAAAGAGAAUAUUUAAAGACAAAGCCAUUGCAGAAAGAAACAAACGAACUCUUUGCAUUGGCAAGGUUUAUUACGGGGAGAUUAGGGACAUCCCCGCAUAGAAGUUAUUCUUUAUAGGGAAUAUUUCAGGUUUGAAAUACCAAUGAAAGAUUUUCAUUCAGUAGUCCGAGGGAAAUUCAGAAAUGAAAUUGGUAAGCCAUGAACUGUGUUGUAUAAUCUAUCACUUAAAUUAGCCUUGAUAACAGAGGAAUGGAAAGUAAGAAGUGUGACACUCAUUUUAAAAAGGAUUCUAGGGAUGGUCAUGGACUAAUAAUUCUGACUACCAUGACGCACAAAAUGCCAGUGAAUAUGAUAAAGAACAUAAUUAAUAGGAACGUGGAUAGGUGUAGUAGGCAGCCAUCAUCUUGGCUUUUCUACCAGGUACGUCUUAGAGCUUUGCUAGUUAUUUGGAGGAGUCAACAGAUACACAGGAAAGGGUGACCCAAAAGUUUGAAAAAAGCUCCGUAACCAAAGACUGUUAACAAAAUGAAGUGUUGAGUUAUUUAAAAUUCUUUGUGGAUUAGUAAAGGGUUACAAGAUAAGGAACCGUAUAGCAACUAAUGGGCAGUUUUAACAGUGCCACCUCACAAAGAUUUGUACUGGCAUCUUUGCUGGUCCACCUGUUCCUAAGUGGUUUGAAAAAGUGCAGUGAUAAAGAUUGCAGAUGAUAGAAGGAAAAUACUCAGCUGGAGUCAGACCUAAUGUUGACCCUGAAGAGUUGCAGAAGGAUCUCACAGCAGGACCUGUGGUGAUCCAGGAGCCAUGGCUGUCACAGAGGCCAGAUACCGCUGACCCUGCUGUUCAACCGUAUCUAUCAGCAGAGAGAGGCAGUGGCUGUGGGGUUACAGCAGCCAUCACCCCGUAAGCUGUGAGCUCAGCGGGCUGUGGCCAGUCCUGCCGCUCAGGAAGGCAGGGACUUCUGGCCGUUCUUUCUAACCACAGCAGGAGCUGUGAAGAAGCUUAAGUUGAAGAGAAGAUUCUUCCUCCCUAUUUCUCAGGGUUUUACAGCCCCGAUGAGCUUAAAGUACAGGUUUUGGUCCUGGAGUUCCUGCCUGUCAUAGGGGUGGAAUAUCACUGUUAAACUGAUAGGUAGUAUCUUGCUGCUGUGAGAAGCCAGGGCUCUCAAGCCAUUUUACUGGUGUUUGCAUGGAUUUUUAGCAGCUCCUGCUAAUUUUCUAUAAUCAUUCUGGAUGGACUGGAUGCUAGGAAAAAGUGGCAAAAUGGUAUUUGAAACAGAGAAGUGGCACUGGCAUGCUGGUCAGUUUUGAGCAUUGGUGAGAACUGGGUAUGAUAUAGAAAAGGAUGACUAAGAGGUAUGGCAUAGCUCUUCUGCAGGGACAGUAAAUGGAUCAGGAUUCCUCAGUUUGGAAUAAUGUUGGCUGAGGACUAGGUAGUGUGAGAAAGGUCUCUAAAACCAUGAGUACAUAGAAGUGUUUAAUAGGGGACUACAGCUCCCUGUUUCUCAUAACAGAAGAACAAGGGGCCUUUGGUCACUGUUGUGUUUAAUUUAGGUGACCUUUAAGAUGGCAAAAUGCUGCUUAGCACCAGUUUUACCUGCCAUAGUUUUGUGGAUACAUCUUUUCAAGUGCACAAACCCCAACUGUUUACUGGUCUUGAAAACUCCACUUGUCCUGAACCAGCUGUGGCCAAAAUCCAACCUGUGCAGAAUUACGGCUUUUCUGUAAAUAAAAGUUUGUAGUCCUAAUAAUUGAUUAAUGAUAAAUUUUCAAACAUGAAUCAAAUGUAAACUGGUCUCAUUUUCCUAAAUCUGCAGAUAUUUUUUUCUCGUCUGCUCCUGUUUGUUCCUUUAUCUGGCAGUAGCAAUAUUAUGGAUGGGCAGAUCAGUUUUACUUCUGUUGUUUGCAAACCUGUGGUCAAUGGAGAAUGCCAGUUUGCUGCUACUUCAGUAGCGGGCCCUAAAAUUAAUCCCACGGGAAAUCAGAUAAAGAAGCAGAAAUAUCUCACCCAGCAACGAGAAGAUCUGGAGGGAGGGAUGGAGUAGAAGACAUCAUUGUACCUUUGAAACAGCUGGAAUGGUUUCCAAGCUGUGGUCCACAAACCUCUGGUGGACUACAAGGCUAUGCUACCAUCUCUUCUUCUGAAGCUUUUCACUUGCUACCUCUCUGACCAUCCUACCUUCCAUGUUGAGAGUAUUGUCCUAACUUCUGAUGUGGAAGAUUGCUGACCCUUUCCUUUGAUGCUGAUACCAGUAUUUUCUUUGAGAGAUAGUACUGUAGUGAAGACAGAAAAAGAAGAAUACGGCACUCAUGGAUUUUUUUAUGGUUUUUAAUAGUCAAGAAGUAUUGUUCUUCUGCCUUCAUAUAAAAUGUGCUGGUUUCCCAAUGUACUUGUAAUUUAAAGAUGUUUGUAGAAAUGUAAAAUCAAAUGUGAAAAACAUAAAAUCCAUAUUAAAGACAUUUAAAUUUAACAAAAUAUAGCAUUAGUCUUUAUUUUUUAAAUUGAGUCCUACAUGGCUCACUUGCAAAAAGUGGGAGAGAUUUAAAAAGUUGUAUACUGGUAAAGUCUGACUUCUUAAAAGGUGAAAUUAUUUUCUUCUCCCCUAUGGUAAUAUUUUCUUGAUUUAUACCUAUUAAAGAUCUCCCCUUCUCUUGAGUUCUCUGUCUUCUCCCUUUUUUUGUUCCUUUUGUUAACCUAAG
Aquila chrysaetos chrysaetos is the source of this 9243-nucleotide long non-coding RNA. RefSeq lists it as uncharacterized. The transcript is spliced from 6 exons. The record is from RefSeq and is a predicted model, not a curated record. Lineage: Eukaryota; Metazoa; Chordata; Aves; Accipitriformes; Accipitridae.